RNAcentral lists this ribosomal RNA (812 nucleotides) under uncultured organism. RNAcentral's name for it is "SSU rRNA". It matches the Rfam family "Bacterial small subunit ribosomal RNA", at positions 26 to 825 of the family's 1533-position model. The record is from RNAcentral.
UGGAUGAACGCUAGCUACAGGCUUAACACAUGCAAGUCGAGGGGAAACGACAUCGAAAGCUUGCUUUUGAUGGGCGUCGACCGGCGCACGGGUGAGUAACGCGUAUCCAACCUGCCCACCACUUGGGGAUAACCUUGCGAAAGUAAGACUAAUACCCAAUGAUAUCUCUAGAAGGCAUCUGAAAGAGAUUAAAGAUUUAUCGGUGAUGGAUGGGGAUGCGUCUGAUUAGCUUGUUGGCGGGGUAACGGCCCACCAAGGCAACGAUCAGUAGGGGUUCUGAGAGGAAGGUCCCCCACAUUGGAACUGAGACACGGUCCAAACUCCUACGGGAGGCAGCAGUGAGGAAUAUUGGUCAAUGGACGAGAGUCUGAACCAGCCAAGUAGCGUGCAGGAUGACGGCCCUAUGGGUUGUAAACUGCUUUUAUAAGGGAAUAAAGUGAGAGUCGUGACUCUUUUUGCAUGUACCUUAUGAAUAAGGACCGGCUAAUUCCGUGCCAGCAGCCGCGGUAAUACGGAAGGUCCGGGCGUUAUCCGGAUUUAUUGGGUUUAAAGGGAGCGUAGGCCGGAGAUUAAGCGUGUUGUGAAAUGUAGACGCUCAACGUCUGCACUGCAGCGCGAACUGGUUUCCUUGAGUACGCACAAAGUGGGCGGAAUUCGUGGUGUAGCGGUGAAAUGCUUAGAUAUCACGAAGAACUCCGAUUGCGAAGGCAGCUCACUGGAGCGCAACUGACGCUGAAGCUCGAAAGUGCGGGUAUCGAACAGGAUUAGAUACCCUGGUAGUCCGCACGGUAAACGAUGGAUGCCCGCUGUUG